RNAcentral lists this ribosomal RNA (428 nucleotides) under uncultured prokaryote. Its description in RNAcentral is "bacterial SSU rRNA". It matches the Rfam family "Bacterial small subunit ribosomal RNA", at positions 355 to 774 of the family's 1533-position model. The record is from RNAcentral.
UGAGGAAUAUUGCGCAAUGGGGGCAACCCUGACGCAGCAACGCCGCGUGAGUGAGGAAGGUUUUCGGACCGUAAAGCUCUGUCGAGCGGGAAGAAAUGCAUAGUGGCUAAUAUCCAUGAUAUUUGACGGUACCGCUAAAGGAAGCACCGGCUAACUCCGUGCCAGCAGCCGCGGUAAUACGGGGGGUGCAAGCGUUGUUCGGAAUUAUUGGGCGUAAAGAGCGUGUAGGCGGCUGAAUAAGUCAGAUGUGAAAUCCCUGGGCUUAACCCAGGAAGUGCAUUUGAAACUAUUCAGCUUGAGUAGGGGAGAUGAAAGUGGAAUUCCUGGUGGAGAGGUGAAAUUCGUAGAUAUCAGGAGGAACGCCGGUGGCGAAGGCGACUUUCUGGCCCUAUACUGACGCUGGGACGCGAGAGCGUGGGUAGCAAACA